Molecule: ribosomal RNA, 385 nt
Filed under: uncultured bacterium
Lineage: Bacteria
Description: bacterial SSU rRNA
Rfam family: Bacterial small subunit ribosomal RNA
Source: RNAcentral
CGGGACGAGUCCCGGACUGCGUGUAUCCGAAGAAAAAGCAUCGGCUCACUCCGUGCCAGCAGCCGCGGUAAUACGGAGGAUGCGAGCGUUAUCCGGAUUUAUUGGGUUUAAAGGGUGCGUAGGCGGUCCGUUAAGUCAGCGGUAAAAUUGCGGGGCUCAACCCCGUCGAGCCGUUGAAACUGGCAGACUUGAGUUGGCGAGAAGUACGCGGAAUGCGCGGUGUAGCGGUGAAAUGCAUAGAUAUCGCGCAGAACUCCGAUUGCGAAGGCAGCGUACCGGCGCCACACUGACGCUGAGGCACGAAAGCGUGGGGAUCGAACAGGAUUAGAUACCCUGGUAGUCCACGCAGUAAACGAUGAAUGCUGGUUGUCCGGGUCGAAUGAGA